AUACGGAGGGUGCAAGCGUUAUCCGGAAUCAUUGGGUUUCGAGGGUCCGCAGGCGGAUUAAUAAGUCAGUGGUGAAAUCCUCUCGCUCAACGAGAGAACUGCCAUUGAAACUGUUAGUCUUGAAUUCGGUCGAAGUAGGCGGAAUGUGUCAUGUAGCGGUGAAAUGCAUAGAUAUGACACAGAACACCGAUAGCGAAGGCAGCUUACUAGACCUGGAUUGACGCUCAUGGACGAAAGCGUGGGGAGCGAACAGGAUUAGAUACCCUAGUAGUCC
RNAcentral lists this ribosomal RNA (274 nucleotides) under uncultured bacterium. RNAcentral's name for it is "partial 16S ribosomal RNA". It matches the Rfam family "Bacterial small subunit ribosomal RNA", at positions 523 to 796 of the family's 1533-position model. The record is from RNAcentral.